RNAcentral lists this ribosomal RNA (547 nucleotides) under uncultured Glomus. Its description in RNAcentral is "SSU rRNA". It matches the Rfam family "Eukaryotic small subunit ribosomal RNA", at positions 548 to 1098 of the family's 1831-position model. Lineage: Eukaryota; Fungi; Glomeromycota; Glomeromycetes; Glomerales; Glomeraceae. The record is from RNAcentral.
UUGGAGGGCAAGUCUGGUGCCAGCAGCCGUGGUAAUUCCAGCUCCAAUAGCGUAUAUUAAAGUUGUUGCAGUUAAAAAGCUCGUAGUUGAAUUUCGGGAUCAGUACGCUGGUCGUGCCUUUGGUAUGUACUGGUGUCACUGAUUCCUCCCUUCUGAAGAACCGUUAUGCCAUUUAUUUGGUGUGGCGGGGAAUCAGGACUGUUACUUUGAAAAAAUUAGAGUGUUUAAAGCAGGCUCGCGCUUGAAUACAUUAGCAUGGAAUAAUGAAAUAGGACGUUUGAUCUUAUUUUGUUGGUUUCUAGGAUCGACGUAAUGAUUAAUAGGGAUAGUUGGGGGCAUUAGUAUUCAAUUGUCAGAGGUGAAAUUCUUGGAUUUAUUGAAGACUAACUACUGCGAAAGCAUUUGCCAAGGAUGUUUUCAUUAAUCAAGAACGAAAGUUAGGGGAUCGAAGACGAUCAGAUACCGUCGUAGUUUUAACCAUAAACUAUGCUGACUAGGGAUCGGAUGAUGUUAUUUUUAAUGACUCAUUCGGCGCCUUACGGGAAAC